AUACGUAGGUGGCAAGCGUUGUCCGGAUUUACUGGGUGUAAAGGGCGCGUAGGCGGGAUGGCAAGUCAGAUGUGAAAUCUCCGGGCUCAACCCGGAAACUGCAUUUGAAACUGUCGUUCUUGAGUAUCGGAGAGGCAAGCGGAAUUCCUAGUGUAGCGGUGAAAUGCGUAGAUAUUAGGAGGAACACCAGUGGCGAAGGCGGCUUGCUGGACGACAACUGACGCUGAGGCGCGAAAGCGUGGGGAGCAAACAGGAUUAGAUACCCGGGUAGUCCACGCCGUAAACGAUGAAUACUAGGUGUGGGGGGACUGACCCCCUCCGUGCCGCAGUUAACACAAUAAGUAUUCCACCUGGGGAGUACGGCCGCAAAGUUGAAACUCAAAUGAAUUGACGGGG
This 396-nucleotide ribosomal RNA is filed under the name uncultured bacterium. Its description in RNAcentral is "partial 16S ribosomal RNA". It matches the Rfam family "Bacterial small subunit ribosomal RNA", at positions 523 to 918 of the family's 1533-position model. The record is from RNAcentral.